UCUCGCCACAAAUUUUCUUCCCAAAAAGUGUGGCGGACGUUGGCGGACGUUUUUGCCGCCGCAGCCCGUCGUGGCGCGCCGCAACCCACAAAAAAUCACUGCAGUAGAAAUAUCCCGAGGCCCAGUCCACACUCAUCCUUCUCCGAGAGAAAAUGGCGCUCUCCGCUGCCCCAGUCUGCCGCCUUCGCCGCGCGUAGGGUCCGCUGUCGCUUAGCGUAGGAGCCACGCUCGCCGCAUCCAAGGGCCGGCGAGGCCGUCGCCCGUGCUGCCUGCACUGCACCCUGCGUAGGGGCCACUCUUGCUGCGCUGAAGGGCCGCCGCCGCCGCUCCUACUGUGCGUGUCCAAGGGCCAUUGCCGCUUGGGUCUUCUUCCACGCAGAAGAAAUCACUGAAGCAGCUGAAGAUUCAUCCAUCCCGUGGUGUUGGGUGAUGCGUAGCAAUCAAUCCCUGCAGCUGAAGAAAGUUCAGGCACGGCAACAUCUAGGCAGAGAAGAUAAUUCUAUUUUUCCCCUUUGCCAGAUUUUUUCUUCUAUAUUUUUUAAUUCCAUUAUUUAUGUAUGGACAUUUGACAUUUUUCUGUGAUUAGUAGAAUCCAGUAAAAAAUUAUUGUUCAUUCUGCUAACUUUCCAUAAGCAAGGGUCGCUACUAAUUUCAUUUUUUUUUGUGAAUGUAUGUUUUAGAUGGGUCAAAGAAAAUUAUACUUGCAAUAUUACUUGGAGUACUGCCAUUCUUCCCUUUGAAAACACAAGUAAAAAUUGUGAUGGUUUGUUGCGCUCUUCAUAAUUGGAUCUUACACUUUGGCUAGGCUAGUUGCUUCUUUUGUAAAUAGUUCAAGCGUGGAUCAAUUUGGCUGGGUUGUACUGAUCCAUGCUUGGCUAGUUGCUGGUUUUAUAAUUACUAUUGUAAUCUGAAUCUCCUAGGCUUAAAUCUUCUAUAUAUGUUAUUCUAUGGAAAAUGGGUGUGAUCUUACUGUGACAAUGAGGUUUUUUUCAUUUAUUUGUGGCCGCAAACCAAACAGAUACCACAACAUUUUGCCAUACUUUUGUGGUAGUAAUCCAAACAGCUGCCACACUUAUUUUGCCAAAUCUUAGUCACUAACCAAACAUCCUGUUUUUGCCACAGUUUGUGGCUUGCCACACUUAUGGCUGCUACUUAAGAAUUAAGAUUAGGCAUGGCAAUGUGUGGCUGGCAUCCAGUCGCGCGGCCGGGACACAGCAGCCGCCAGCCAGCGAGCUUUCAGGGCCCACAGCUUGCAGCAAGGAUCAGAAAAGGCUAGGCUGCACCUAUGAGGGUUAAGGGUUCGGUUGCAGUGUUCGAUGGCAUCCAAAACCAGAAAAUUGACAGAUCGAACCCAAGACAACGAUCUCAAAGAAAGAGGUUGGGAAAGAAUGUAGAACGGAAGUUAAGCUGACACAAAAUAAAAAAACGAAGGUGUGUAAUCUCAGGCAAAGCCGAAAGCAGCCUCCAUCGUACAAGUACAUAAUAUGCUCAUAGAAUAGCACAAAGGUGAUGAAGGGGUCAUCAACUCAUCAUCAUAUCGUUAAUCAUUAUAUUGCCGGCGGCGUUUCCUAUAUAUCCUACCAGCUCCGGCCGAUCUUGCGGUGGUGCGGCGUUGCCGGCGGCGCUGGUGGCGGCGGGGGAGCACCGGGGUGUCUGCUGCACUCGGGCUCAGGGUCGGGGCACAUGUGGUGCACAGUGCCUCCUCGAGGUGACGGCGGCGCCCAGCCGUCAUGCCCUCCAUCUGGCUGAGCAACUGCACGGUGCACAUAUCAAUGCAUUAUGGCCUCCAUCAUCAACAGAAAUUCUUAGUGAAGUUACAGUAAGUACUGCUCCUAAUUGGACAUGAUAUAUACAUACAACGUAACAUACCGUCGGCCUCCGAGCAGUCGACGAUGACGGAACAAGAGACGAUGACAGCCAGGAUGACCGUCAUCACAUACACGAAGCGAAGACAAGAACACCUCUUCCUCGUCAUGGUGUGGUCAGAAGUGGUGGUGUAUAGGUAUCAGUAUAGCAAGCCUCAGCAAGACCUGCGGACAGGUCCGGCGCCGGAUGGUGGACACCGUCGUCGCCGACAUCCAACCACACAAUGAAAAGGCGACGUACGGAGGCAUCAGAGCAUUAAUUGACAGAACCCAAGACAACGAUCUGAGAGAAAUAGGGUGGGAAAGUUUGAAGUUCGGCAAUUAAGCUGAUACUAAAGCGAAGGUGUGUCUUAGGCAAAGCCGAAAGAGUUUGAAUAUAGAAGAGCAGCAAAGUAAUCAUUGCGUACCAGAGGCUGAUUGGGCGUCCGACGAGCAGCGGAUGAAGGAGCAAGACAUGGCGAUGGCCAGUGUCAUCGCUACCGCGUAGUACGUCACUGGUAACGAAGAGAGGCAACGAGACAACUUCUUCAUGGUUCAAAGUAACCAAAAUAUCAGGAGCCCAGGGGAGUUUGGAAUUGGAUGGUAGGGGCUCCUUCUCUUCGGCUUCUCCUGCCUAUUAAUAAGACCUUGGGAGUACCGGAGCAACUCAACUCCAAUAAUGGACGAUGGACGACCACCGGAGAUCGAGAGUAAAUGCAGUCAAAGGAUGUGAGUGUUGUUUAUUUGGCUGAUAAGUUAUAGUUGAAAGUAUAAUUCUAAUUUAUUGUAAGAGAAAAAUAUUAUUAAAUGAAUGUCAUAUUCGAUAGAUAACUCAAUAGAAAGACUGGUUGAUUCAGCCUUCGGCAUGCAGCCAGGCAGACAACUAACCUGCUGCUACCUGGUACUCUUCCACUA
Long non-coding RNA from Sorghum bicolor (sorghum), 2759 nucleotides. RefSeq lists it as uncharacterized. The record is from RefSeq and is a predicted model, not a curated record. The transcript has 6 exons. Lineage: Eukaryota; Viridiplantae; Streptophyta; Magnoliopsida; Poales; Poaceae.